CCUCAAAUCCUACUAAAAAAAAAUUCCAAAUCAUUUUUCAUCAUACUUAACAGUGCUUGGCAUAUUAUCCUCUCCAUUUUAAAGCCCAUUGUGAGCUUCAUCAGGUUUCAUCGUGGCCUGGUGGGUUUUACCGUGACUGACACUAUCAUCACCAAGAUGUCCCUCGGCUUCACUGAGGAUGAUGCAAAGAACUCUCGAUUUGUCAAGAGGCAUAAGAAUUGAAUCUCGUCAUCCUUAAACGUGUUGCUGAAUGGAGGCUACCUUGACAACCCUUUCUUCUUUUGUACUACUUUUUUUAUGGCUAUCGAAGACAAAUUUUGAAUUGCAUAAAAUAUCUCCUGAAUAAUUAGUGGAGAAACUCAUGUUACUGGAAGCUGUUAUUUAACUGAAAGCUGUGUUUUCUGUUAUGACUAAUCUAAAAAUUUACCUCACAAAAAAAAAAAUUGAGAAAAGAAGAUUUGAGUUUGAAGUUUUGGAUUUAUUUAAGGAAUUGGUGGAGGGAUUGAAUAUUGAAGGUCCCAAUUUUGUUGAUCUAGCUUUAAUAAAAGAAAAAUAGACAAAGAAAGUGUAAAGGAUAUUUUUGUCAACAAAUAUUUUUUUAUAAAAAUUAUACAAUAUAUAUUAUUUUUAAUACAUCAAAUCAAACAGUAUAUAAAAGAUAAUGCCAACAUAACUAGUGCAAUCACAACUAAUACCAACAUUAUUAAUGCAAGCUUACCAAUACACUUUAUUCAAUAUUAUUGUUGUACACUCUACCAAAUCGAUACCUUAAAGUUUGAAUACUAACUUAUCUUUUCUAGUCUGAGAUCCACUUGCAUGAGUUUUACCAUGAAUAGUAGUUUCACAUUUAAAAACAAAUUAAACAAUAAGGAUUGACAUAAGUUAAGAGUGACGUAAUUUUUAAUAGUCUAUGUUACUAGAAUCUUGCAAAAUGACCAUAGUGUUCGCGGCGAAUCUUUUGAAAAUGUAUUAGUUUUUGGAGGAUCUAACGAUUACUUUAAAGGACUUGAGUAACACAACUAAUAUAAUCAAAUCCUAGUAGAAAUAACACUAGGUGAUUUCUUUCAAUCUGUCUUAGCCUUGAUGGACAGAGUUACGUGAUACCUAAUGCUGAUGAGAGGUGGCAGAUAUCCCAUGAAGUUAGUCAAAAUGAUUCGUAAGAUGUCCAGAUACCACGAUUAUAAAAGAUAAUAGGUACAUAGUAAUGUAUAUAAUGGACCUGAACAGAAUGCAAUGACUACAGAAAAUUCACAUGAUAACUGGAAUCAAUUUUUAAUGAAUAUAUAAAAAGUUAAAAAGGUGGGGUAGUUAGGAAGGAUGAAGAGAGAAAAAUCAAAGAUUAUUGAAAAAGGGUGGAGAGCUAGAGCCAAAGACCAAGAAGAUCACGAGUCAAAUGGAAAGAGGGGAUAGAGGGGAAGGGGAUGUCAGUUUUGCUUUUGGUUGGCAAUGAAGAAACCAAAACA
RNAcentral lists this long non-coding RNA (1463 nucleotides) under Capsicum annuum. RNAcentral describes it as "long non-coding RNA (CANN_LNC002931)". The record is from RNAcentral. Lineage: Eukaryota; Viridiplantae; Streptophyta; Magnoliopsida; Solanales; Solanaceae.